UGGCUCAGUGGAAAGAGCCUGGUUUGGGGAGCCAGAGGUCAUGGGUUCUAAUCCCAA
RNAcentral lists this transfer RNA (57 nucleotides) under Ornithorhynchus anatinus (platypus). Lineage: Eukaryota; Metazoa; Chordata; Mammalia; Monotremata; Ornithorhynchidae. The record is from Rfam by way of RNAcentral.